Molecule: ribosomal RNA, 253 nt
Filed under: uncultured bacterium
Lineage: Bacteria
Description: partial 16S ribosomal RNA
Rfam family: Bacterial small subunit ribosomal RNA
Source: RNAcentral
UACGUAGGUGGCAAGCGUUGUCCGGAAUUAUUGGGCGUAAAGAGCUCGUAGGCGGUUUGUCGCGUCUGCUGUGAAAUCCCGAGGCUCAACCUCGGGCCUGCAGUGGGUACGGGCAGACUGGAGUGCGGUAGGGGAGAAUGGAAUUCCUGGUGUAGCGGUGGAAUGCGCAGAUAUCAGGAGGAACACCGAUGGCGAAGGCAGUUCUCUGGGCCGUAACUGACGCUGAGGAGCGAAAGCGUGGGGAGCGAACAGG